AGAUUGAACGCUAGCGGGAUGCUUUACACAUGCAAGUCGAACGGCAGCGCGGACUUCGGUCUGGCGGCGAGUGGCGAACGGGUGAGUAAUAUAUCGGAACGUGCCCAGUAGCGGGGGAUAACUACGCGAAAGCGUGGCUAAUACCGCAUACGCCCUACGGGGGAAAGGGGGGGAUCGCAAGACCUCUCACUAUUGGAGCGGCCGAUAUCAGAUUAGCUAGUUGGUGAGGUAAAGGCUCACCAAGGCGACGAUCUGUAGCUGGUUUGAGAGGACGACCAGCCACACUGGGACUGAGACACGGCCCAGACUCCUACGGGAGCAGCAGUGGGAAUUUGGACAAGUGGGGAAACCCUGGAUCCAGCCAUCCCGCGUGUGCGAUGAAGGCCGUUCGGGUUGUAAAGCUACGUUUGGACGAGGAAGAAACGGCGUUAGAACUAAUAUUCAGUCGUCAC
RNAcentral lists this ribosomal RNA (452 nucleotides) under uncultured soil bacterium. RNAcentral's name for it is "bacterial SSU rRNA". It matches the Rfam family "Bacterial small subunit ribosomal RNA", at positions 26 to 478 of the family's 1533-position model. The record is from RNAcentral.